GCAAGUCGAACGCGAAAGUCACUUCGGUGGCGAGUAGAGUGGCGGACGGGUGAGUAACGCGUGGGAAUCUGCCUCGUAGUGGGGGACAACCCGGGGAAACCCGGGCUAAUACCGCAUACGUCUUACGAGAGAAAGGGUGCCUCUGCUUGCAAGCACUCGCUAUGAGAUGAGCCCGCGUCGGAUUAGCUAGUUGGUGGGGUAAAAGCCCACCAAGGCGACGAUCCGUAGCUGGUCUGAGAGGAUGAUC
Molecule: ribosomal RNA, 247 nt
Filed under: uncultured bacterium
Lineage: Bacteria
Description: partial 16S ribosomal RNA
Rfam family: Bacterial small subunit ribosomal RNA
Source: RNAcentral